RNAcentral lists this transfer RNA (73 nucleotides) under Mycobacteriaceae bacterium. RNAcentral's name for it is "tRNA-Asn". It matches the Rfam family "tRNA". From Rfam's summary of the family: Transfer RNA (tRNA) molecules are approximately 80 nucleotides in length. Their secondary structure includes four short double-helical elements and three loops (D, anti-codon, and T loops). The record is from RNAcentral. Lineage: Bacteria; Bacillati; Actinomycetota; Actinomycetes; Mycobacteriales; Mycobacteriaceae.
UCCCCUGUAGCUCAAUUGGCAGAGCGUUCGGCUGUUAACCGAUAGGUUGAAGGUUCGAGUCCUUCCGGGGGAG